GUGGAGGAGGACGCCGAAGGUGGGGCUAAUGACUGGGGUGAAGUCGUAACAAGGUAGCCGUACCGGAAGGUGCGGCUGGAUCACCUCCUAACAGGGAGACAACAAAAUGUAAAUAUUAAUUUUGUCACCUUAGGUCGAUCGGUAUCUCAGAUUCUUAUUUUAAGAAUUUCAGUUUCUAAGUUUUUUCUAGGUCACACCCAUUACUUUUUCCUGGGCCAUUAGCUCAGGUGGUUAGAGCGCACCCCUGAUAAGGGUGAGGUCCCUGGUUCAAGUCCAGGAUGGCCCAUAUCUCUAUGUUGGGGGUAUAGCUCAGUUGGUAGAGCGCCUGCUUUGCAAGCAGGAUGUCAGCGGUUCGAGUCCGCUUACCUCCACUGAAUACCACCUCUUACAUAUUUUUAAAGGGGAAAAUUGUUUUGAGUCGUGUCCUAACUUGCUCUGAGUGAAUCUAGCUUCCUAUUUUUUUUUAAUAAGAUGCUGGACUCAUUGAAUUUUAUUCAUUGUUUUCAGAGAACCUUGACAACUGCAUAGAUUAUUUUUGAAGACAAUAAGCAUCUUUAAUGAUGCAGAUUUAUUAUUUGUGCUUAUGCAUUAAAUAACAAUUCUAUUAAGCUGAUGCUUCAAUUAUUGAAGUUAUUGGUCAAGCUACAAAGGGCUCACGGAGGAUACCUAG
Molecule: unclassified non-coding RNA, 670 nt
Filed under: uncultured Prochlorococcus sp.
Lineage: Bacteria; Bacillati; Cyanobacteriota; Cyanophyceae; Synechococcales; Prochlorococcaceae
Description: partial may contain 16S ribosomal RNA, 16S-23S ribosomal RNA intergenic spacer, and 23S ribosomal RNA
Rfam family: tRNA (bases 299-371)
Source: RNAcentral